RNAcentral lists this ribosomal RNA (253 nucleotides) under uncultured bacterium. RNAcentral describes it as "partial 16S ribosomal RNA". It matches the Rfam family "Bacterial small subunit ribosomal RNA", at positions 524 to 776 of the family's 1533-position model. The record is from RNAcentral.
UACAGAGGGUGCGAGCGUUGUCCGGAUUUACUGGGCGUAAAGAGCGUGUAGGCGGCCACGCAGGUCCGUUGUGAAAACUGGAGGCUCAACCUCCAGCUGUCGACGGAAACCGUGUGGCUAGAGUCCGGAAGAGGAGAGUGGAAUUCCUGGUGUAGCGGUGAAAUGCGCAGAUAUCAGGAAGAACACCAAUGGCGAAGGCAGCUCUCUGGGACGGUACUGACGCUGAGACGCGAAAGCGUGGGGAGCGAACAGG